This 438-nucleotide ribosomal RNA is filed under the name uncultured bacterium. RNAcentral describes it as "partial 16S ribosomal RNA". It matches the Rfam family "Bacterial small subunit ribosomal RNA", at positions 339 to 795 of the family's 1533-position model. The record is from RNAcentral.
CUACGGGGUGCAGCAGUGGGGAAUAUUGCACAAUGGAGGAAACUCUGAUGCAGCAACGCCGCGUGGAGGAUGACACUUUUCGGAGCGUAAACUCCUUUUAUAUAGGAAGAAGAUGACGGUACUAUAUGAAUAAGCGCCGGCUAACUCCGUGCCAGCAGCCGCGGUAAUACGGAGGGCGCAAGCGUUACUCGGAAUCACUGGGCGUAAAGAGCGUGUAGGCGGAUUAAAAAGUCAGAAGUGAAAUCCUAUAGCUUAACUAUAGAACUGCUUCUGAAACUCUUAAUCUAGAAUAUGGGAGAGGUAGAUGGAAUUUCUGGGGUAGGGGUAAAAUCCGUAGAGAUCAGAAGGAAUACCGAUUGCGAAGGCGAUCUACUAGAACAUUAUUGACGCUGAGACGCGAAAGCGUGGGGAGCAAACAGGAUUAGAUACCCCUGUGUC